This 1206-nucleotide long non-coding RNA is filed under the name Oncorhynchus mykiss (rainbow trout). RNAcentral's name for it is "lncRNA (ENSOMYG00000063940.1)". The record is from RNAcentral. Lineage: Eukaryota; Metazoa; Chordata; Actinopteri; Salmoniformes; Salmonidae.
AUGACCACCCCUCAUCACUGUCAAACUCUCCCUAAAACACUUCAGCGAGCAGGCCUUUCUAAUCGACCGGCCCAGGUAUCUUGGAAGGAUAUUGACCUCAUUUCGUCAGUAGAGGAUGCCUGGUUAUUCUUUAAAAGUGCUUUCCUCGCCAUCUUAAAUAAGCACGCCCCAUUCCAAAAAUGUAGAACCAGGAACAGAUAUAGCCCUUGGUUCACUCCAGGCCUGACUGCCCUUGACCAGCACAAACAUAUCCUGUGGCGUACUGCAUUAGCAUCGAACAGCCCCCGCGAUAUGCAACUUUUCUGGGAAGUUAGGAACAAAUAUACACAGGCAGAUAGGAAAGCAAAGGCUAGCUUUUUCAAACAGAAAUUUGCAUCCUGUAGCACAAACUCCCCAAAAUUCUGGGACAUUGUAAAGUCCAUGGAAAAUAAGAGCACCUCCUCCCAGCUGCCCACUGCACUGAGGCAAGGAAACACUGUCAUCACCGAUAAAUCUGCGAUAAUUGAUCAUUUCAAUAAGCAUUUUUCUACGGCUGGCCGUGCUUUAAACCUGGCAACCCCUAUCAACAGCCCUGCACCCUCCUGCGCCCCCCAUAGCAACUUGCUCAAGCCUCACCCAUUUCUCCUUCACCCAAAUGAUAUUCUGAAAGAACUGCACAAUCUGGACCCUCUCUUUCUGAAAUUAUCAACCGAAAUGGUUGCAACCCCUAUUAUUACCCUGUUCAACUUCUCUUUCGUAUCGUCUGAGAUCCCCAAAGAUUGGAAAGCUGCCGCGGUCAUCCCCCCAUCAAAGGGGGAGACACUAGGCCCAAACUGCUCCAGAUCUAUAUCUAUCCUACCCUGCCUUUCUAAGGUCUUUGAAAGCCAAGUUAACAAACAGAUCACCUACCAUUUUGAAUCCCACCGUACCUUCUCCGCUAUGCAAUCGGGUUUCCGAGCUGGUCAUGGGUGCACCUCAGCCACCAUCGACCUGGCCAAGGCUUUCAACUCUGUCAACCACCACAUUCUUAUCGGCAGACUCAACAGCCUUGGUUUCUCAAAUGCCUCGCCUGGUUCACCAACUACUUCUCAGACAGAGUUCCAUUGUCCGGGCCUGUUGUCCGGGCCUCUGGCAGUCUCUAUGGGGGUGCCACAGGGUUCAAUCCUCGGGCCGACUCUUUUCGCUGUAUACAUCAAUGAUGUCGUCUUGCUGCUGGUGAUUCUCUGA